Long non-coding RNA from Cephus cinctus (wheat stem sawfly), 3428 nucleotides. RefSeq lists it as uncharacterized. NCBI's taxonomy places the organism in Eukaryota, Metazoa, Arthropoda, Insecta, Hymenoptera, Cephidae. The record is from RefSeq and is a predicted model, not a curated record. The transcript is spliced from 7 exons.
CUUUCCGGUCCACGAAUUGAACCAUUUCGAUGAUUAUUGGAUGGGAUGAAGUCAUCGCUUGAUUGAAAAAUUUUUGUUGCAUCAGUCGAGCGAUGAGGUUGGAAAUUUUUAAACUUUCCAUGUUUCCUGUAUCAAAGGAGGCUCAAAUUAGACGUCUGUAUACCAAAUUCCAUUCUUAUUGACUGCAGUGGUACGUAGGCCAUCUUUGGUACUCAGGUACUUUAAUACUCGGUAACCAUACGAAACGUACGUAUCUGGACGUCUGCUGGCACAAAGCAAAGUGAGUUUAGUUUUUGAAGCUGUCGGAUGUGCUGGAGCGGUGUAGCGCGCUGAGUUACAUGCAUGACUCUGCGUACGUCGAAGGAUGACUUGAAAGAUCUUACUACGGGAUUGUCAGCCGAGAUGAACGCCGCUCAAGAGAUCGUUUCAGGAUCGGCAAGAGAUGCUGUAGAACCCUGCCAAGAAAUCUCGUAUAAUAAGCCCUUAAAAAUGGGCAUUAAAAAAAUACCUGCAGUGGAUCAGAAAUGAAAGUGGAUGGACCACUUUGGGACAAAUUGGUUGAAGAAAACUUUACUUUCUUACCAUUGCACUGAUAAGAGAUAUCUUUGGGAGAAUUCGAAUACUCAAAGGAUAUAUCUAGUGGUAGUGAACUAUACCAUAAUUCCUCUCAAUAAUGAUCUCUUAAAAGGUACUUCAGGUACUUCACUUCACUUCAGGUAAUCACUUCAGUGCCCGGAAUAGCCAUGAAAUUUGGGUAUGGAAUUUAGUUUACAUGUCUGCAGACGAUAAACGUCAAGGAGCCAUCGUUUGGGAUUUAUUAAAUAUAAAAGUAAUGAUCCGCUCGUGACGGCCAUCUCGAAUGAUAAUUUAUUUAUCGUGGAUUGGUCCAUCGGCCGAUCAAGGAUCGUGGCUAUCGAGAAGCGAUUCGUCUCAAUCAUGUCACGGGCAUCGUACGUUACGUCGGCAACAUCCUGUGGACCAUUAAAAACCACUCCCUCCGUAUCCUUAAGGAUUCUUAUUCACUCUUUCAUAAUGGCAUCCCGUAAUUCUCUCUCUGUCGUUUAUUCCUUGCACUAACCUACUCACCAGUCGACCCCAUGGUGCCGACCUACCCCAUGGGUUGAUCAAUCUCGGUCUGUCCUGUACAUAAUCGAAUUGAUUUGACCUCUUUGCCACUUUGUACCACGUGGAGGUUACAUACUCAGAGCACGUGUUACAUUCCACAUAUGACACAAGAAUGAUGUUUCAAGUGUAUCCGGCGAUGAUGAUUCAGUUUAUCAUGCUUCGUGACUACCGUAUCGUUUUUGGCCUAGUUUCUCUACUGAUUAUUUUUUUAAUGACUGCUGUGGCGUGUCGAGCCGGUUUUGCUCUCAAGGGCAAUUAAAGGAUCGGCAUCGAAAACUCCAUUUUGUCGCUUCCGAAAUGUCAUCCUGAGGAAGUGCUAUGGGGACUAUUGUAAGUGGAUUCACUAUACUAAUCGGGCACACAGUACGUCGUAAGUCAAUUGACAGUUGACACGACCCAGGACGUGCCUUUUCCGUUGUGGAAGUUUCGUUGGGCACUCCCAUGGCAUAGAAGUGCGUUCAAUCGGGGAUCGAUUCGAUGCGCACGGAUCAAAUCGAUACCGUUGUUGAUCAGUUUGAUUUGAAAAAGGUACAUUUUAUAUAUCCUAUACAUCAAAAGGAAUAUGGAGACACCACGUGAGGUCUUUUUCAAUCCCCUGUAAUAUAAUUUUACCAAGAAAAUCUCAUUGCUCCAUGAAAUAAAUGCAGGGGCCUUAAGUAUCAACCUUUCUUGCUUUGGUUUCGUAUUAGCCCAAAAUACAAGACAGUCCCAUAACAAUGGAGCAUCAUAUAUCACUGCAAGUUCUCUUUAAGAGUUCUGGCAUUGCCCUCGAAAAGCAAUGGAGCCGUUCAGGACGUGAAACAAGUAUCUUUACAUACGGAGUUUCAUGGUGAGACUGUUCCAGGCUUAUUUUACCCACGUCAAUAAGAAAUAGUGAUAUUAUAUAAAAAAUGUUGAGACUCAACACUCAGUAGUGCCAUACAAAUAAAAUAUACUUUAUUCCAACAAUCUGAUUAGGCAGGACCCCUCUAUUCAGAUAAUCCAUUAGAUUAAUUUUUACCUGGACUUUAUUUAUCUCUACUUGCACCUCACUUUGGGAUGGUACACUCUUCUUUAAUGUAUGUCCCAUAGAAAAGUCUUAAUGGUGCAGUUUAUACGAUGCAACAUCCGGGCCGAAGCGUCGUACCCUAGACACAGAAUCGCCUUCAUUGUGAAUAACAGGGUCCCAUUGUACCAAAGUCCUUUUGUAUACCUACGUGCCCUUAGUAUUACUCUGUGCAACGGCUUCCACCUUAACCUAACAAGGAUCCAAAAAGUACACAGCCUACAUAUGACCCCAAACAAAUUUUUACCCAGUACCUAGGUAAAAGCAACCUAGCAAAAGAAUAUCCAGGUUCAUCAUACAAAGCUAGGUGUCAGAUACCCCUGGUAAGAUGACACAAUAAAAUAGUGAAGAACUUUAAGACCCAACCGUCUGAAGUACCAGUGUGGGACCUCCAAAAAUUGAGGUCGUAUAUUUUAUCAUUAAAUUGCAUAAUAUUUAUAGAAAUUUUUUUAUAAGCCACUGACAAUGCCAAAAAAUGUAUCUAUUUUUUUUUACAGUGUAUAUGGUUUGGAUCAUUUGAUCUCACGCCAGGAUAUCUACAGGGAUGGAGGACAAGGAGGAGAAGCGGGGGGAGAAAUACGGCGUGGCUAAUUAUGUAAAUUGCGAUUGGACUAAAUUAAUUGGCUCUUGGUAUAAUUGAAGGUACCUGCUGUUUGAUCGAUAGGGAGUCGGUACCCUAAGAGAAUUUCUCCACUCCCUGGAAUGUCAAAAUUCAUGAACGUUAUCAUUCCUCGUCGUUAUGUUAUCUAUUUUUUAUUAAAUAUAAGUCAUUUGUCAUAAAUUUAUAUCAAUCAAGCAAGAUUAAUAUACUGUAUAACAUGCGUUAUCGUUCUUGUCAAUGGGUUAUGGUGACUGUCUUAAUUGUAUCGAUGAUCCUUUUCUUCUUUAAUUGUUAAGAUCUUUUUUUUUCAAAAACUUUUUUAACGCAGAAGCAACCACUGUCUUCUUACUUCGCGCUCUUGGAUCACGAUCGGUAACGCAAGUGUAGGUAACCGCAUGACGAUAAUGACUGUUAUUUUAUCGUGAACGGUAAUGCUCUCGCUUAAAGUCGCUCUACUUAUACGCAUUAUCCUGGUAAAACUACGGGCCCGUCUUCGAGCAAUCAUUUUCAAGCGUCAUUACGAAAUUGCUUUGGCAAAUGAAAUGCGAGGGUUGGCUGCACUGCACUUAUAGUGAGAUUUAUUGGAAAUCAAAGAUAUUUCCAUUUACACGCAUCGUCAUACAUAUAUAUAAAUUUACGAAGUAAUAUCGAAAGCCA